This 60-nucleotide transfer RNA is filed under the name Acanthogammarus victorii. RNAcentral's name for it is "tRNA-Asp". Lineage: Eukaryota; Metazoa; Arthropoda; Malacostraca; Amphipoda; Acanthogammaridae. The record is from RNAcentral.
GUUAAGUUAGUUUAUUUAAAAUGUUGCGUUGUCGGUGCAAAGAUAAGCCUUUGUUUAGCG